UACAGAGGAGCCAAGCGUUGUCCGGAUUGACUGGGCGUAAAGCGCACGCAGGCGGACGCGCGCGUGGGGUGUGAAAUCUGGCCGCUUAACGGCCAGGCGCCAUCCCAUACGGCCGGACUGGAGCCUUGCAGAGGUCGGUGGAAUUGCCGGUGUAGUGGUGAAAUGCGUAGAGAUCGGCAGGAACACCAGUGGCGAAGGCGGCACUCUGGGCCAGUACUGACGCUGAGGAGCGAAAGCGUGGGGAGCAAACAGG
RNAcentral lists this ribosomal RNA (253 nucleotides) under uncultured bacterium. RNAcentral describes it as "partial 16S ribosomal RNA". It matches the Rfam family "Bacterial small subunit ribosomal RNA", at positions 524 to 776 of the family's 1533-position model. The record is from RNAcentral.